UGAGGAAUAUUGCGCAAUGGCCGAAAGGCUGACGCAGCGACGCCGCGUGAGGGAUGAAGUCCGUUAGGAUGUAAACCUCUUUUGCAGGGGAUGAAUGUUCCCGAUUUAUCGGGACUUGACCGUACUCUGCGAAUAAGGAUCGGCCAACUACGUGCCAGCAGCCGCGGUAAUACGUAGGAUCCGAGCGUUGUCCGGAAUUACUGGGUGUAAAGGGCGUGUAGGUGGGCUUCUAAGUCGGUGGUGAAAUCCUGCAGCUUAACUGCAGAACUGCCUCCGAUACUGGGAGUCUUGAGUACGGCAGAGGGAGAUGGAAUUCAUGGUGUAGCGGUGAAAUGUGUAGAUAUCAUGAAGAACACCGGUAGCGAAGGCGGUCUCCUGGUCCGUUACUGACACUGAGGCGCGAAAGCGUGGGGAGCAAACAGG
This 423-nucleotide ribosomal RNA is filed under the name uncultured bacterium. RNAcentral describes it as "bacterial SSU rRNA". It matches the Rfam family "Bacterial small subunit ribosomal RNA", at positions 355 to 776 of the family's 1533-position model. The record is from RNAcentral.